CGGUCAUGUGAUGUGGUUUAUGCGAUUACUUUGCAGGUCCGGGACUUUUACACCAAAGUGCUGAGUGAAGAAGAGCGCAAGAGGCUCUGUGAGAACAUCGCCGGUCACCUGAAGGAUGCCCAACUCUUCAUCCAAAAAAGAGCUGUGAAGAAUUUCACCGACGUUCACCCCGAUUACGGCAACCGUAUCCAGGCUCUGCUUGACAAGUACAACGCUGAAGGA
This is a long non-coding RNA of Rana temporaria (common frog), 222 nucleotides long. RefSeq lists it as uncharacterized. The transcript is spliced from 2 exons. NCBI's taxonomy places the organism in Eukaryota, Metazoa, Chordata, Amphibia, Anura, Ranidae. The record is from RefSeq and is a predicted model, not a curated record.